ACAGCCUAUACAUGCUUACUCAGAAGUCAGUCUGCCUGUGUCCACUGACACUUAUUCCCAGAGAGAUGAACAUCUUGCAGUGGUCAUGCAGCUCACAAGAGACCAUGGGAACGAUGACCUUCUCACAACCCUUCUACACACACUGCUUUGUUGUAUCCUAUCUGUGCAACCACUCAAAGAGAUGGUGAAAGGUACAUGGAAGAUCCUGCUACAUCACAAC
Molecule: long non-coding RNA, 220 nt
Organism: Sceloporus undulatus (fence lizard)
Lineage: Eukaryota; Metazoa; Chordata; Lepidosauria; Squamata; Phrynosomatidae
Exons: 3
Source: RefSeq, a predicted model, not a curated record